This 73-nucleotide transfer RNA is filed under the name Neotoma lepida (desert woodrat). It matches the Rfam family "tRNA". Rfam says of the family: Transfer RNA (tRNA) molecules are approximately 80 nucleotides in length. Their secondary structure includes four short double-helical elements and three loops (D, anti-codon, and T loops). The record is from Rfam by way of RNAcentral. Lineage: Eukaryota; Metazoa; Chordata; Mammalia; Rodentia; Cricetidae.
UAGGCUGUAGCUCAGUGGGUAGGGUGCUUGCCUAACAUUCAUGAGACUCUGGGUUCCAUCCCUAGCAGUUCAU